UACGUAGUGUGCAAGCGUUAAUCGGAAUUACUGGGCGUAAAGCGUGCGCAGGCGGUUGUGCAAGACCGAUGUGAAAUCCCCGGGCUUAACCUGGGAAUGGCAUUGGUGACUGCACGGCUAGAGUGUGUCAGAGGGGGGUAGAAUUCCACGUGUAGCAGUGAAAUGCGUAGAGAUGUGGAGGAAUACCGAUGGCGAAGGCAGCCCCCUGGGAUAACACUGACGCUCAUGCACGAAAGCGUGGGGAGCAAACAGG
This 253-nucleotide ribosomal RNA is filed under the name uncultured bacterium. RNAcentral describes it as "partial 16S ribosomal RNA". It matches the Rfam family "Bacterial small subunit ribosomal RNA", at positions 524 to 776 of the family's 1533-position model. The record is from RNAcentral.